UAGCCCUUGCCUUCCUCUGGACUGGUCACCUCUAAACUGCAGCUGGCUCUGGCCCCCAUGCCUUACUAUUUUUUUGUUUGUUUGUUUGUUUGUUUCAUUUUUGGCAAGUUCUGUAGAUCAAACUCAGGUCUUGGUACUCCAAAGGCAAGUAUAUCAUUGAGUCCUACCUGUCUCUCUAGGCCUUCAUAAGGUCACCUGCCUCGCUUGUCCUUUCAGCCUGCUCCUGCCUACACCCUGUGACAGAAGGUCCUUACAGCACCCCCACACUCCCACUCCCACCUCCCACCCCUGGAAGAGGUGAAAGGAAAGCUCUGCCCCACCUGCUGAAGUGCCUGAUCACUUUAUUCUUUACAUAAAGAGAAGUUUGCUGCAGGGAAUGAACAACAGCUAGCCAGUGAAAAUGGGAUUGCCCUUCCACCAGAGCGGCUGCUCAGCCUAAUUUGGGCCUGCAGUACACAUCUUCUGAAAGUGGCAGAGCCACCCUGCAACAAGGAAGAAACAACUGGAAAAACAACAAAAUAUUGGAGACAUGGAUUUGGAAGAGGAGCCCAUCUUAUCGAGGAUCCAGGCAUCGGCAUGGUUUACUGCUGUACCACCUGGUGAUGAACACGGACCGCUCUUCAGGUGCAGUGGUUUAGGGAAACACGCCCCCCACGGGCUCAUGUGUUUAAACUCUUCUGGAGGCACUGUUUGAGGACACUGUGGAACCUUUGGGAGAUGGAAGGCUUUGCUGGAGGAAGUAUGUCAAUAAAACAAGCUUGUUCCACUUCCUGUGCCCUCUGCUUCUUGCGUGGUGGAUGAAAACGUGGUCAUCCUGCUCCUGCCUCCAUGCAAUG
Non-coding RNA from Myodes glareolus (Bank vole), 836 nucleotides. NCBI's taxonomy places the organism in Eukaryota, Metazoa, Chordata, Mammalia, Rodentia, Cricetidae. The record is from RefSeq and is a predicted model, not a curated record.